CAGAGAGCACUGCAUGCCAAUAUCCUCUGUUUGCAGAGCAAAGCAGUCAGACAGCGGCUGGCAGCAGCCACUCUCCCACGAUGCACCAGGACAGCCAGCGCUUCAGCUCUGCCCUGGGAGGCCCACUUCUCAGGAUGAGAGGAUAAUUCACUCGCUAUAGCCCAUUCAAUCUUCAGCCUCU
Unclassified non-coding RNA from Cavia aperea (Brazilian guinea pig), 181 nucleotides. The record is from Ensembl. Lineage: Eukaryota; Metazoa; Chordata; Mammalia; Rodentia; Caviidae.